This 252-nucleotide ribosomal RNA is filed under the name uncultured bacterium. Its description in RNAcentral is "partial 16S ribosomal RNA". It matches the Rfam family "Bacterial small subunit ribosomal RNA", at positions 524 to 776 of the family's 1533-position model. The record is from RNAcentral.
UACGAAGGGGGCUAGCGUUGCUCGGAAUCACUGGGCGUAAAGGGUGCGUAGGCGGGUCUUUAAGUCAGGGGUGAAAUCCUGGAGCUCAACUCCAGAACUGCCUUUGAUACUGAAGAUCUUGAGUUCGGGAGAGGUGAGUGGAACUGCGAGUGUAGAGGUGAAAUUGUAGAUAUUCGCAAGAACACCAGUGGCGAAGGCGGCUCACUGGCCCGAUACUGACGCUGAGGCACGAAAGCGUGGGGAGCAAACAGG